UUCCAGACUCCUACGGGAGGCAGCAGUGAGGAAUAUUGGUCAAUGGACGAGAGCCUGAACCAGCCAAGUAGCGUGAAGGAUGACUGCCCUAUGGGUUGUAAACUUCUUUUAUAAAGGAAUAAAACGAGGCACGUGUGCCUUUUUGCAUGUACUUUAUGAAUAAGGAUCGGCUAACUCCGUGCCAGCAGCCGCGGUAAUACGGAGGAUCCGAGCGUUAUCCGGAUUUAUUGGGUUUAAAGGGAGCGUAGAUGGGUUGUUAAGUCAGUUGUGAAAGUUUGCGGCUCAACCGUAAAAUUGCAGUUGAAACUGGCAGUCUUGAGUACAGUAGAGGUGGGCGGAAUUCGUGGUGUAGCGGUGAAAUGCUUAGAUAUCACGAAGAACUCCGAUUGCGAAGGCAGCUCACUGGACUGCAACUGACACUGAGGCUCGAAAGCGUGGGUAUCAAACAGGAUUAGAUACCCGCGUAUG
Molecule: ribosomal RNA, 468 nt
Filed under: uncultured bacterium
Lineage: Bacteria
Description: bacterial SSU rRNA
Rfam family: Bacterial small subunit ribosomal RNA
Source: RNAcentral